GAAGCUCUGAACACUAUAUUCAAUAAAAUUUUUUUAAAUAGAAGAACCUGGGAGCCAACAGCUAAUAUUACUUGGUGCCUGUGGGGCAAAUGUUUUUGGGUUUUGUCACUUUUCAAAAAUCCCUCAAUGUCCUAAUAACAAAGGACACUUCUCAUUUCUUAAAAAACAAAACAAGACCAAAAAAAAAAAACAAAAAAAAAAACAACCCAAUAACCCCAAACCGCACAGACCUCAGAAAUUUGUCUGGAUUUCUGAAGAGGUGGGCUGGCUCCUCAGCUGACCAAAAAGAGAAGACCGAGAAGAGAAGAGAGCCACCUUCAUCAAGAACACAUAACCAGUAGACCCAGGUUCCCCUAGGACAGUUUUCCACUGCAACAUGAGUCCUCUGGGGAAGGGAAGAGUAUGGAGCUGGUGAAUGAGCCCUCGGUGGGGCGACAGGAACCCUGGGUCCUGCUCCUGUCUCUGCCACCACCAGCCAGGUGACCAAAGUUAGAUGAGCCACUAAUUUCUUGGGCCACAGAAAUCGAGUAGCUAGGGAGCCUGAAAAGGAGGGGGAGGGGAGCCAUCCUCAUUUCCAGCCCCAACUUCGUACUGAUCCAUCCCCUUUCUGUGUUCAGAUUUAGAAGCUUCUCCACCCCCCACAGGCUUUUCUGGCUUCAUCAUGGGUCUCUCCCACCCGCCCUUUUUGAGUUUCCUCACUGGACUGGGGCCUCUAAAAGCACUGUCGUUUACAGGCUGGGUUCCCAGUACUGACUGGGUCACGAGGGGAGAAUUGCUGAGGCCAGGAGGAGGAUGUGGAAGGCUGGGUCAGCCGGUGCAGGCGUCAUUCCCAACAGGGAACAGGGUCCUGGGAGAAGGGGCUCAGCAUUUCCUGAAGGGAAAUGACUCCCAUAAAUAGAGGGAUGGGAAAAGGACCCGUCUAUCCCUUCCCUCCUGUCAGCUCAGCUCUUCCUUCUCGUGUCUAGACUAUGCGAACUCUCAGAAGUAUUUUUCAGUCAAAUAUGUCCCUGCCAGUGUGUGUGUGUGUGUGUGUGAGAGAGAUGUGGUUAUCUGCUUUCUUGUGUAUAUAUUGUAGAUCUAAAAUAUGAACUGAAGAAGGGAUGCAUGCCUUUUAUUUGUUUACCCACAGUAACCUCUCAUUAGUCCAUUCCAGUAUAGAGCUAGGAUUUUUUUCCAGUGGGGUUUUUAUUGGGAAGGAAGGAAGGAAGGAGAAUAUUCACCUUCUGAGAUCAUCUCUUAUUUAAGGGUUCAUCCAAGAGGUCAGCAGCUCUCCCCUGUGAUGCUUACAGUAUGCUCUUAAGGUCCUUUUUUUUUUUUUUUUUUUUUUGCUCUUAAGGUCCUUAGAAAGGUUAGGUCUCAUGAGAGCUCUACUAAGAAGUUUGUAGCACCUCCAGUGUCAUGAAGCAUCUCCGGGAGGGAAAGGGACUUCUUGACAGCUGCUCUUCUGCUCUUCAGUCUGUCCCAGGAAUGAUCACAUCGCACCCAACCUCUAUGCCAGGCUGGAGGCAAACCCAUGGGGGCUUUAGGUUCCUUAACAACAGAAAUUUAUCCUUACCAAAGACCCUUUUUAUAUCCUAAAAAAAA
RNAcentral lists this long non-coding RNA (1584 nucleotides) under Canis lupus familiaris (dog). RNAcentral's name for it is "lncRNA (ENSCAFG00845031058.1)". Lineage: Eukaryota; Metazoa; Chordata; Mammalia; Carnivora; Canidae. The record is from RNAcentral.